RNAcentral lists this ribosomal RNA (253 nucleotides) under uncultured bacterium. RNAcentral's name for it is "partial 16S ribosomal RNA". It matches the Rfam family "Bacterial small subunit ribosomal RNA", at positions 524 to 776 of the family's 1533-position model. The record is from RNAcentral.
GACGGAGGGUGCAAGCGUUGUUCGGAUUGACUGGGCGUAAAGGGCGUGUAGGCGGUUGCCCAAGUCCGAUGUGAAAGCCCGAGGCCUACCCUCGGAAGUGCAUCGGAAACUAGGCAGCUGGAGCGCGAUAGAGGAGGGUAGAAUUCCUGGUGUAGCGGUGAAAUGCGUAGAUAUCAGGAGGAAUACCGGCGGCGAAGGCGGCCCUCUGGAUCGUUGCUGACGCUGAGACGCGAAAGCGUGGGGAGCAAACAGG